Non-coding RNA from Monodelphis domestica (gray short-tailed opossum), 20888 nucleotides. Lineage: Eukaryota; Metazoa; Chordata; Mammalia; Didelphimorphia; Didelphidae. The record is from RefSeq and is a predicted model, not a curated record.
UUAGAACUUAAGACGCAUCUUGGUGGCUCAGUGGAUAGAGCACUGGGCCUGGAGUUAGGAAGACCUGAGUUCAAAUUUGACCUCAGACACUUAUUAGCUGUGUGACUUUGGGCAAGUCACUUAACCUCUGUUUGUCUUAAUUAACUAGAGAAGGAGAUGACAAACCACUCCAGUAUCUUUGCCAAGAAAUCCCCAUGGACAGGAGAUUUAAAAAAUUUCCAGUAGCAAGCUAACAGUCAAUUCAAUUCAAUUUCAUUAAAUUUAGGGAACUUAUUAAGUAUCUAGGAUAUGACCUAGUAUCUGAGGUCACAUUUGAACCCCAGGUCUCCCAUUUCUAGGCCUGAUUCUCUAUCCACUGAGUCACCUAGCUCCCCUGUUACAUAGGAUUUUUAAUCUUUGUUUUUUUGCACUGGCUUUCCCCAAUAACUGGUUUCUUCUGCCCCAUUACCUCCACCUUCUAGAAUCUCUGCUUCUUUAAGACUUCAUUCAAGCACCAUCUUCUGCAGAAGACCUUUUCUUGGUUCUCUCAGCCACUACUGCCUUCCCCUCUAAGGUUAUCUUGUGUCUACUCUAUUUGUAAACACUUUUCUCUCCCCUGUAAAAAUGUUAACUCCGUUUGGAAUAGGGAUUAUUUUGCCUGUUUUUAUAUCUCCAACACUUGGCACAAUGCUUGUUCACUCACUCUGCCUACCUGCCUUUCUCUCUCUAGGAUUUGUACUCUCUAUUACUACUCUACCACACAGGGCUGUUGUAAGGAGAAGUCUCAAGUGGGAGCUAUUUCCUAAAUAUGAACUAUUAGUAUUACUGUUGCUCUUUUUCCUUGUCUGGAAGAAGCUCCCCAGUCAUUUGAGGAGGGAAUAAAGAGGGCAGCUGUAGCCUCAGAGAGGAUGGACUGAACUCAAGCCCUAUUUCAUUCAGUCUAAUUCUCCCUCAUUUUAUGGAUAGUGAUAAUGAUAAUAGUAAUCCCCCCUACAAUUCUACUCUGAUAAUGAAUGGAGAUUACCCUGAGUUACUUAAUAACUACCCUGAGAUACUUAAUAAGUUCCCUGAAUUUAAUGAAAUUGAAUUGAAUUGACUGUUAGCUUGCUACUGGAAAUUUUUUAAAUCUCCUGUCCAUGGGGAUUUCUUGGCAAAGAUACUGGAGUGGUCUGUCAUCUCCUUCUCUAGUUAAUUAAGACAAACAGAGGUUAAGUGACUUGCCCAAAGUCACACAGCUAAUAAGUGUCUGAGGUCAAAUUUGAACUCAGGUCUUCCUAAGGAGAUGGUGCUUGUAGCCCAGACGUUUAGAAAUUCCUGGGCAACUGCGAAGCUUCUGGGUAUAGAAGACCAGCCUAAGUUCAGGGGCACUUGUCUAGGGCCUGCCUGUUCGGUGAUGAAUAUUUGUGGCCACAGUCAGUCUCUAAAACCAUCUCCUUAGAGUUUGGAGAUGAGAGAGGGGCUCACCCAUAAAACCUCAGAUCCUUCAAGUAAAGAAAUCAUAGUCAUAACAAACCACAUUUAAGAUCCUUUUGAGUGCUUUCCUGACAACCACCUUCGGACGUAGGGGGUGCAAGCAUUGCCAUGCAGGUGUAUAGAUGUGGGGAAAGAGGCCCAGGCAGGCUGAGUGUGGCCAGGAUUUUCCCAGACGAACCUGGGAGUUCGGGGUUCUUUUAACUCUCCCAUAUUGUUCUUUCUCACUGAGAUAGUUCAAACAAUCCAUCAACAAGUAUUCCCGAUCACUCGCCUUCAAACUGAAAUUUACUGGACAGCCCUCUGAAGUUUGGAAAAAGCUUUGUACUCAGGAUCUCAUUUUGAGUCUCCCAACAAUUCUGGAGGUUGUGGGAAGGGGUGACUUGCCCAGGGUCGCGCAGCAGGUUGGGGCAUCUUGGACUCCAAGCCCCCGAACUCCAUCGACUAGGCAGCGCUCUCUCUCCCUAUCGGGGGCUCCUGAAACUGAGGGUCUCUGAGGGGGGCGGGCCCCUCUUUGGAAGGAGCUGAAGCGGGGUGGGGAAUAGGCGGAAACCGAGUGGCGGUUUUCUCCCCAGGAAUGAAAUCCGAGGAGGCUCAAAUCCGGCAAGCGAAGCAUUAUCGGCAAUAUGAAAAGAGAACUGGGUCCCCGACGGGCGGUCUUCUAUUCUGAAAUGGGGUAAUCGUUCCGUGGGAGGAAGGGGGAAGGGCAGGGACGUGGAGCCGCUGCCUCCUUCCCCAGAAUCUGAAGCAGGAGUCCUAAAGAGGAGGAGGGUAAGAAGGAGGGCACGGAGCUUUUUACCGCUCACCGGGACCUCUCCUGGGAGGGCAAGAGAAGCAGUCCUAAUGGCCGUGGCCGCCCUCGGAGAACACUCAGCUCUCUGGCAUUCCCUCCCCACAAUCCGAGGACCCUUAUUUCUAGCCCACUUCCAACCUUUCCUGACUGGGUGAUCUCUGGCAGAUCACUACCUCUCCACAGGAAGCCGAACAAAGAAUCCCAAGGCAGAGUCGGUGGACUGUCAGUAAUGCCGCUCUCCCUCCCUCCCAGGCAGUGACUCAAGCAGCAACCGGCCAAGGCUGGGCCAGAGUAGGGAUUAAGCCCUUUGCAACCUAGCAGCCCCGGGCCCGGGUUUGGCCUUCAAUUUUAACCCUUCGCCGACUGGCAGCUAUUCCUUGAGAGAAGGCUGAGGAAAGAAUGCUUCCACCGAGUCUACGUUGGGGGUAAAUGGGAAUAAACUAAUGUGUAGUUUGAGGGAAUGAGAUGACAUAUGUACAAUACUUUGCAAACAUGAAAGUACUCUAAGAGUAUAAAUGUUGGCUAUUGAGCUAUCCGGCCUCUGAUGCCUUUCCUCAGUCUCAGUCUGUACCCCGGAAAAAAAAAAAGAAGACGACUCCUAGGAAAAGGGAACAUAAGAGAUUUAGAUUGAAGAGUUAGAGGGAAACUUUUGGGACCAUUUAGCCCAGUCUCCUUCUUUUACAGACGUUAAUGCUUAAGGUCAUAAAGUCGUAAACCAGGAUGUGAACUAAGUUUACAGAUUCCAAUUUCAGUUCUUUCUCUGCCCUCUGUCCCCCUUUCUCUCUCUUCUACUCCCUCUCCUUCUUUCCCCUCUCCCUUUUACUCUCCCCUUCUCUCCUCUCCUUUCUUACUCUCCUCUCCACUCCCGUCUGCUUCUCUCUCCCCCUGUCUCUCUUUUCUCUCCUCUCCUCUUUAUCUCUCUCCUUCUCUCUCCCCUUCUCUCCCUUCCUCUCCUCUCCUUCCUUCUCCAUCUCUCCCUUUUCCCUCUCCUAUCCCUCCCCUCUCCAUCUUUCCCCUCCUCUCUUCUCCUUUCCCUCCCCCCCUCUCUGUCUUUCUUUCUUCUUUCUCUCUGACUCUCUCUCCCUCUCUUUUUUCUUUUUCUCUCUCUUCUCCCUUCUCAUCUCUGUCCCUUUCUUUCUCCUCCUCCCCUCUUCUCCUGUCCCUCCUUUCUGUCUCUUUCUUUCUUCUCCUCACUCUCACUCUCUCUUCCUCCCCCUUCUGUUUCUGUCUCUGUUUCUGUCUCUGUCUCUCUGUCUCUGUCCUUCCCCUCACUCCCAUCUCUGUCUCUCUUCUUUAUUCUUCCUCCCUCCUUUUUGCUGUGGAGAGUUCAACUUAUUCAGAGUCAGGAGACCCGGGUUAAAGUCUGAGCCCCCCUUUUUGUUGCUUCAAUUUUUAAACUGGUUUGCUCAAAUAUAAAAUGGGUAUGGAUAUAAUAAUACCUCCCUCACAAGGUUGUUAGUAAAGCUUAAAGCACCUUUGAAAUGUGAGUUAUUAUAAUACAGGAUCAUAGAAGGUCAAAGCUGGGAGGAACCAUUUAAUCCAAAUUCUUCCUUUGACAGAUGACAAAAUUGAGGUCAAAGGAAGGAAAAGUGAGCAAGGUCACAAGUUAGGUAUCAGAAGAGGCAGAACUAGAACCUAGGUCUCCUGAUUCUUUUUUUUUUUAAAUCUUUACCUUCUGUUAGUAUCAAUUCAAGGACAGAAGAUCUGUAAGGGCUAGGCAAGUGUGGUUAAAUGACUUGUCCAGAGUCACACAGCUAAAUAGUGUCUGAGGUCAGAGUUGACACCAGGUCUUCCUGAUUUCAAGCCUGGCUACCUAGCUGCCCUUGAUUUUCUGAUUCAAUUCAAAACUCUUAAUUAUGUUGUAUAUAUGAUCCAUUUAAACUCUCAUAGAGUUAUAUGUCUUUAGUGUGCCAAGCCCCUGAUCCCUCCCUUUCUCUGUUUGGACAAGUUAGAGUGGACAUCAGAGAGCUCCUCUCAGAUCCUCCAUUUAAGGAGAAUCUCAGUCCAGCCAUUUCAUCAUUUCUCACUUGGUAGCAGCCCCCCCCCCCCAACCCCAAGCAGAGAACCUUUUCUCCUCUUCCUCCUUCUCCUCUUCCUUUUAUAUAUUGUCUUCCCCCAUUAGAUUGGUCCAUAAGAACCAACUCCUUGAAGGCAGGGAUUCUUUGUGGCCUUUCUUAGUAUUCUUAGAACUUAGCACAAAGUCUGGCACAUAGUAGGUGCAUAAUAAAUAUUUACUGACUGAUAGAAUUUUGCUACCCUGCUCAUUAUUCUCUGGAUUUGCUCGUUUGUCAAUCUCUUUUUUAAAACCCUAGCUUUCUGUCUUCAUAACAACAACUCUAAGACAGAAAAAUGGUAAGGGCUUGACAAUUGGGGUUAAGUGACUUGUCCAGGGUCACACAGUUAGGAAGUGUGUACGGUCAAAUUUGAACCCAGGUCUUCUGUAUUCCUUAGCUGCCCCCUACCCCAUUUUGGGUCAGUAUCUCUUUAAGUAUAGACCCAAGAGCUGAACAUGUAAUUUGACUGAAACAGCCUAUAGUUUAACUAUUAGCCAUAACAUUUGCAUUAUUUGCAUUUCAAUUAUCUUUUAGAGUUCACAAAAUGAUAUGCAAAAUGCUUUCUCAUACAUAGAUCAUCAUUAGUGACAUGCUGCAGCCUGCUUAUACCUACCCUUUGCCUUUCCAUUGUUUCUAUUGCUGUUUGAGUCAUCUGCCAUUGUGGUUCUUCUGAAAUCCUGAUGUUUGUGAUUAACAGCCCUAUCACUUCGUUGGGAGGAUAUUGCUGUGGAAAAGGGCUGGAUUUUGGAAUGCCAUGGAGCUGUAAGAAAUGAUGAGCAGGCUGGGUUUAGAAAAACAGAAGAAACUUGUGUGAUAAUUCAGAAUGAAACAGAACUUGCUUCAGAUAAGCAGAACUUACCAAGAGGAUGUUGUAAACAGUAACAGCAAUUUUGUUUGAAGAGUAACUGUGAAUGACUAAGCUAUUCUGAGUAAUAGGAUUAUUCAAAUCAAAGUUAUGAAGGACACCUUCAGGGAAAGAACUGAAAUAUGGAAGUAUGGAUAGUAUGCUUCCACAUCUAUCUAUCUAUAGCAAAUGUUGGCCUUCUCUGAUACAGGGCAGGGAGGAGGAGAAGCUCAAAACUCAAAAUGUAACUCUUCUCCCCAAAUUGAAUGAUUAAUAAAGAAAAAAACAGGUGGCUUAUUGUUACCUUUUGUUUGUUUUUUAAGUAGGGAGACUCUCCAAGCAACUGAAAAUGCUACAGAAUUUCCCAAAUGUUAUCUAGUCCAAUUUUCUCUUCUUGUUCCUUUCUGGCCCUGUUGCAGUGCUUAUCCAAAAUAUAUGUACUGUUAGAUUACUUACUUCAAUGAGCUGCCUAUCCACCUUCUUAUCAUAACAGAGACAACAGGCCUUUUUAUUUCUUCCUUUAUGAUGACUAAGCCCAUCUAUUCUGAUUGACCAUAAACCUCUGUGGGGUUGAAGGAUAGUUUCACCUCUCAGGCAGUUUAGAAUCACUUCUAUUUGGGUUUAGGACAGGACAUCUUCCAAUGACAAUGGCGAACCCAUUUGGUGAGGAAAUGCUGCAUGUGAGCCAUUCCCUUACCCCAGAUGGAAGGAAGAAAGUGGUACCUUGGGGCUGCUGGGCAGAAGGGUGGUGGAUGGGAGAAAUGUCCUCAGGGCCCUGUGGAGAGGGGGAGGGGAGCAUCCCCUUCCAGCACAUGGGGCAGAAGUUCGCCAAUGCGGCUAUAGACUUUCCUUUACUGAAGUCUUUCCAUAAGAUGAGCUGAUGAAUGAAUGAAAGAAAAAAUAGUUAUUGACCCAUUUCCUUUGCCAGUCAUACAUAUUCUCAGUGAUGCAACGGAAAAGUAUAAUCCUUCACCCAUAUGAAAGCCCUUCAAAAACUUGAAAAAGAUACAUUUCAUCUAUAUCUAUCCAUCUAUCUAUCAUCUAUCCAUAUAUUCAUCUAUCUAUCUAUCUAUCUAUCUAUCUAUCUAUCUAUCUAUCUAUCUAUCUAUUCAUCCAUCCAUCUAUCUAUCUAUCCAUCUAUCUACCCAUUUAUCUAUUCAUCCAUCUAUCCAUAUAUUCAUCUGUCUAUCUAUCUAUCUAUCUAUCUAUCUAUCUAUCUAUCUAUCCAUCUAUCCACCCAUCCAUCUAUUUAUCUAUUCAUCUAUCUAUCUACCCAUUUAUUUAUCCAUCCAUCCAUCCAUCCACCCAUCUAUCUAUCUAUUUAUCUAUCUAUCUAUCUAUCUAUCUAUCUAUCUAUCUAUCCAUCUAUCCAUAUAUUUAUCUAUUCAUCUAUCCACCCAUCCAUCUAUUUAUCUAUUCAUCUAUCUAUCUACCCAUUUAUUUAUCCAUCCAUCCAUCCACCCACCCAUCUAUCUAUCUAUCUAUCUAUUAGAAUCAAGAAAGACAUCUUGAAGUGAGUAGCAUUUGAAUUAAACCUUGGAAGGAGCCAAGGGUUAUAAGAGGCAGAAGUGAGAACAGACAGUAUCCUAUGUGUGGAUAUCCUGUGGGAAAACAGAGAGGAGGGAUAUAUAAUAUUGUAUACGGGGAACAGCAAGCAGACCAGCUUGUCUGGAGCAUAGACUUGCAUGUGUAAUCAGUCUGAAAAGAUAGGCUGGAUCCACAUUGGGAAGGGUUUUAAAUUCCAAAUGGAGGGGGCAGGUAGGUGGCUUAGUGGGCUGAGAGUCAUGCCUAGAGAAGGGCAGCCUCAUUCCAUGCAAAAGCACUUCUCUUUCUCCCAUCUUGGUUCUUCUGUUCCCUUCUUCUUUCUUCCUUUCAGCACUGUCUUUCCUCUCCCAAAUACUCUAUUCAGUGCUUUCUGCCACAUCUCUUUGUCAUUGUGAGAAAAGUUUUCUAUAAUUGCCAUGACUAAUACAACACUUUCUACCUGUGCCUUCUUCCCCUUCCCAAAGUAUAGACAGAAGACAAGCAAAGUCAAGAUAGCUCUCAUGUCUGUCUGCAACAUUAAAAAAAAAACAACCAAUAAACAAUAGACAUAGUUAUGCCUUUCAAUCAAUUGCAUAACUGUAAGAAUAUCUGCUCUACUUCACUGUAUAUCUUAGAUAUCAGACCUUUACCAAAGGUAAUUGAGACAGAUUUUUUUCCUGUAUGUCAGUUUCCCUUUGUAUUGUAGUUGCGUACAUUUUAAUUGUGUAAAAGCUAUUCAAUUUCCUGUAAUCGAAAUAAUCUAUUUUAUCAUUUGUGACUAGUUUUUCCACCUUAUCUUCUAAACAUAAUUAUAAAAUAUGCUUGAUCUGAUUCUCUUCUGAUUUCUUUAUGGUGUGACUUUUAUUUUAGCUACUAUUAAUUUUUUUAAAAUAACUAGAUUGUUUGUUUACUUUUAACAUUCAUUAAAAAUAUUUUUGAGCUCUAAAUUCUCUUCUUCUCAUCAGUCCCUACCCCACCUAGUGAGAAAAUAAGUAUUAUAUAAGUAAUAGAAGCAAUUUGAUAUUAUAAUAUUGACAUGUGAAAUCAUGUAAAACAUUUUCAUGUUAGCCAUGUUGUAAAAAUAAAAAGCAAGAAUAAUCAAGAAAAUGAAAAAAAUUAUACUUCUAUUUGUACUCAGAGUACAUUAGUUCUCUCUCUGGAUAUAAAUAGCAUUUUUCAUCAUGAGUCCUUUGGAAUUGUCUUGGAUCAUUGUUUUAAUCAAAGUAGCUAAAUCUUUACAGUUGAUCAUUAUUACAAUAUUGCUAAUACUUGCACUUAUUCUGUUCAAUUGAAUAUGAAUUAUUUUAUAAAAAUCUUCCCAGAUUUUUCUGAAACCAUCUUGCUCAUCAUUUCUUAGAACACAAUAGUUUUUCACCUGGUGUGACUUUUAAUACUUUUAUCAUGUAUCCAUUCUGAUCUUAUUGGAGUAUAAAAUUUAUAUGGUAUUAAAUGUCUUAAAACCUAAUUUCUGCUUAUUUGCUUUCCAGUUUUCCUGUCAGUUUUCAUCAAAUAGGGAAUUCUUCUCCAAUGGCUUAUGUUCUUUGGUUUAACAACCACUGGAUAGAUUUCAAUUAUUUCUGUUUCUUCUUUAUCUAGUCUGUUGCACUCACCUCCUUUUCUAUCUUUGAAGCCAGCACCGGAUUGCUUUAUCAUAUAAUUUGAGAGCUAAUAGUGCUAUUUCCCUCUUAUUCUUGUUUAAAGUUCUAGACCUAUCAUUCCUCCAAAUGAAUUAUUUUGUCUAGCUCUGUAACAAACACAUUCCCUUGAUAGUAUGGUGUUAUGAAUCUAGAAAUUCAUUUAAAUGGUACCAUUAUCUGUCUGUGACUUUCUUAUUUCUUCAAGGGUAUCCUUGCUAUAUAGUUAACUAUUCUUUUUAAAAAUUGUUUUAUUGACAUCUAAUUUUUUUAUAACUGUCAUUUCCUAAUAACUACCUGAUCAAUGGACUCUGACUUUGUUUUUAGUUUUUUUUGCUACUGCAAAGAAUGCUAUUAUAAAUAUUUUAGCAUAUGAAACCUUUUUGACUGUUUCCUCCUCAAGGCAUUUGCCUGGUAGUGGAUUCACAUUUAUGUGAACAUAUAUACACUAUUCUCAUCUAUUUUAUAGACAUAAGAAAGUAUGUCUAUGAGUUAUUAGGUGAUGUUUUCUUGGUUAUCUUUUUAAAAGAAAUAACAGCAUAGUGCCUCCCCUCAUCUGUAGUCUUUUGGGGUUUUUCCCACUUUGAGAAUUCUUAAAAAUCUAUCCUUUAGGGGCAACUAAGAGGCUAGAUAGAAUACCAGGCUGCGAGAUGAGAAGUCCUAGGUUUAAACCUGACCUCAGACUCUUUCUGACUGUGUGACCCUGGACAAGUUACUUAGCCCUAGUUGCCUAGCCCUUAUCACUCUUGCCUUGGAACUGGAACUAGUACAAUUUUAAGACAGAAAGUAGGGAUUUUAAAAAAAUCGACCACUUUGUAUGUUAUUGUGGCAUGGAUAUCUUGGGGAUCUCUUUGAUUAGGUUCAGUAUCUCUUUCCAAUUUCAUCUCCUUAAACUCCACUGGUUCUUUGUCUUCAACUAGAUUUGAUUCUAAGGUGGUGGAGUCCAGAUUCAGUGGUUCUGCUGUCAUUACUGAGGAGAAAAGCUCACUGGCUAAUCUUUUCCAUUUCAUGUCUAUAUGUUAUCUUUCUUCACAAUUUCAGCUACAAAUACUCUUGAGAUAAUCUGGUAUAGUAGAGCCUCCUGUCAAGUUCUUUUGAGGCUCAUUUGCACAUUAACUGCUUUUCGCUGCUGAGAAGCUAAAUGGAUCAUAUAUAAUCUUCUAGCAUUCUCCUCCUUUUCAUCUAAACAAGUAUUUCCCUUGGUUUCCAUGCUCCUUCACUUGGCAAGGAGAUCAAGGGCUUUCUGGACUCCUUUUUUUUUUCAGAGCGACAACCUUUUUUUGUGACAACCAUGUUUUAAAACUCAUUUAAAUGUCUAUAAGACAUAAGGAUCCACAACAAUUAUAACAACAACAAUAAUAAUUGAAACUCAUUUCAUUUUUUUUUUAAGCCCUUACCUUCCAUCAUAGAAUCAAUACUGUGUAUUGGUUCCAAGGCAGAAGGCAGCCGUAAGGGCUAGGCAAUAGGGGUUAAGUGACUUGUCCAGGGUCACACAGCUGGGAAAUAUCUGAGGUCACAUUUGAAUCCAGGACCUCCCAACUCUAGGCCUGACUCUCAAUCCACUGGGCCACCCAUCUGCCCCCCUUUGAGGUUUCCAAAGUGUUUAUGAACUUUAUCUCAUUUGAUUCUUAAAACAACCCCGUGACGUAAGUACUACCAAUACCCUAAUUUAUGAGGAAGUGGUGAAGGCUCAGAGAUGCUAAGAGCCUUGCCUACUAUGAUCAUACAACCAGUGGGUACCAGAGAUAAGAUUUGAACCCAGGUCUUUCUUUGCCUCUAACUCCAGCUUUCCUUUCAUUACACCAGGCUGGUCCUUAAUACCUCCCUUCAGCCCAUUUCUUAUUUUGUUGUUGUUGUUUGAGUUUUCAAAGCUGACAGCCUAUAUAGACAGACCAGGUUGGUUCAGUUCAAGCUGCUCUAAUUACAUGCAGCUUAGCCUUUCUUCCAAUUGGGUAUUGAUUUUGACACGCGAUCUAACCAGUCAAUGACCCUGAUUUUGAAAUAUUUUCCCCGCCCUAACCAGCUGUUUCCUGUCUAUUACAUCUCUUAAAGAAGGCUAAAUCUCAUGAGCUUCUCUAGCAGUUGUCACAUUAUUGACUCAUAUUGAGUUUGCAAUCCAAUAAAGCCCCUAAGUCUUAUUCACCUGAAUUGUUGUCUAGCUAUGUCUUACCCCACAAUUACAUUAAUGCAGUUGGGCUUUUUCCUUAAGUUAAAAUAAUUUAUAUUUAUCCUUGUUAAGUUCUUAAAAAGAACAUUUUGGAUGACUUCAUCUGAGUAACCAAUAAUAAUUCCUAACAGACUGAAGAUUUCAAGUAGGUACAUCUCGGUUGCUAUCAAACAAUUAAUCAACAUUCAAGUAUGGUCAUUCAAUUAACUAUAAUCCACGAAACUAGAGAAUCAUCAAACCCAUAAUUCCUCUUCUUGUUGACAGAAAUAUUAGGAAGACUUUGUCUAAUACCUUUUAGCAAUCUAGAUGGUGUCUCCAGUAUUUCCCAAAUCUAUAAGCUUAGUAACUCUUUCAAAAAAGGAAAUGGAGUUCAUGAGAUAUGAUAUGUUCUCAGUCAAAGUCUGGCUUCAUCACUUCCCUCACUCCCAGAGUGUUCACAAUCCAUUUAGUUAUUAAUUCUAGAUUUUUUUUAAAUUUAAAUUUAAAUUAAAAAAAAUUUAAACCCUUACCUUCUGUCUUAGAGUCAAUACUGUGUAUUGGCUCCAAGGCAAAAGAAUGGUAAGGGCUAGGCAAUGGGGGUCAAGUGACUUGCCCAGGGUCACACAGCUGGGAAGUGUCUGAGGCAAGAUUUGAACCUAGGACCUCCCGUCUCUAAGCCUGGCUCUCAAUCCACUGAACUACCCAGCUGCCCCCUUAAUUCUAGAUUUUUAUGGAAGUUUGCAUUGAAUUCUAUACUCUGUAAUCUUCUUAGAAUCAACCAUUUCCCCUUUCAGGAAACUGAGAUGUUCACCUGACUUCAUUUUUUCAGCAACUUUCCAAAAGAUUUACAGGGCUAGUUAAGUAAUUAUAUCUGGAAGUUCUUUCAGCACCCUCAGUUUUUAUACAUAAGGCCAAGAGAUGUUGUCACUUAAAUAAAAGGCUUUAUAUUUAUCACUAUCAAGUUUCAUCUUGGAUUUAGUAAGUCAAGAUUCUUUUAUAUUAUGAUUCUGUCAUUUAAUGUGUUGAUUUUCCCUCCCAGCUUUUGUGUCAUCUGCACAUUUGAUAAGUAUGACAUUUUUGCUUAUAUCUAAAAUAUGUUGAUAAAAUAAGAACAUACUAAACAACAGCACAAACAAGGAUAUUCCACUACAGACCUCCUUCCAAGAUGACAUUGAACCACUAAUGAGUAUGUUUGAGGUCUACCACUUAACAAAUUAUUCCAAAUAUACCGAUUUAUGCUAUUACAUAGCUGACAUCUCUCUUAACGUUUCCAUAAGCCAAGCAUAGCAAACCUUUUCAAGAAACUCUGCUAAAGAGCCUAGCUUAGAGACAGGUCCCAGGUUUGAAUGUGACCUCAGGCACUUCCUAGUUGUGUGACCCUGGGCAAGUCACUUAACCCCUAUUACCUAUUCUUUACCACUCUUCUGCCUUAGAACCAAUCAUAGUAUUAAUUCUAAGAUAAAAGGUAAGAAUUUGAAAAAAAAAAGAAAGAAAAAACUGCUAAAAUCUAGGAAGCUAUAUGUAGAGUAGAGGUGUCACACAAGCAGAUUAAAAUAUAUAUGGGAAAUAUUUAACAAAAUGAAAAAUACAAUGAAAUGUAGAUAACUAUAUUUUAAAACAGUUAAUAUGUAGCUUGUGGGGAUUUUUUUCAUGGCCCCAUUUCUAUUUGAUUUGGCUGUACAACAAUGUACAACACUUCAACCAUUAAGUUUAACUAAGUUAAUUAUUUAAUUCCCAAAGAUGAUCUCUUCUCCAGGCAGCCUCUCCCAUUCCCUAAUUAUAAAGAUCCAUGCAACCUUUCAUUCUUCCUCUUACCCAUAUCUAAUUAGAGACCUCACAGAUAGCAUUUGUUCAUAUUUCUAUGACUUCUCUUGCUUUAUAGUUAAUUUUGUGUGAAUUAUAACUCCAGAAACCAUGUUUUAUCUGAAUUUUGUAUCUCCCCUAAUAUCCAGCACAGAAAUUUAACUUAGAGUAGGUACGUAAUACCUUUUAGCUGAAUCGCUUUUCAUGUAUGAUAAAAGUGCAUUCUGCCACCCUUCUUUCAUAUUGGCCUCUUUUGCCUCUUCCCAAAUCUCAGCAAUACCAAGAAGCCAUGAUGGAAUGUUAAGUCUUUCAUCUAUUGCCUAUAAUCUGUAUAACCUAAUUUAGUGGGAGGGAACAGAAAAUUUGAAGUCAGAAGCCCUGCACUGAUUCAAGCCCUGGCUUGAUGAGCUGACUGAGGUCAAGAAAGUCAUGUAUAUUCUGCAUUAUCUACCUUAUUGAGUAACUGAGAGAACAAAUGAGAUAAUGUAUGUGAACUCCUCUGUCACUGUAUGUUAAUGUAGCCGGUGGCUUCCUCCAUCUCCCCCACACUUUCUAGAAUCACUCAGCCUGAAUUCAAUUCUGGAAAUUCUCAACUCCCACCUAGACAAUUCUAGGUUGAACUCUUUUGGUUCCAAGGAAAUCUACUAGUAUAAUAAUGAUAUAAGAAGGUUGCCAGCUCCCUCCCAUGUCUGCACUCAAAUUACUAAAUCCAUAUUGGGUAUAAGAAAGCCUUUUUUUUCAUCUCACAAAAAAAUACGAAAGAUGAAAAAGGAUUCAUAGGAACUGAAAACAUUAAGGGGGACUUGAACUUAGUGUCACUACCAGAGCAACCCUCUAAUACACUAGUGAAGCAUUUCCUAUGAUGUAGUUCCAUGCAGUGUCCACUAAAAUAAUGAGUACUACUCUGUGGUCAUGCCAGGCAUUAUACAAGAUACUGAUAAUACAAAGACAAGAAUAAAAUAGUAUCUGACCUCAAAGGGCUUAUGCUCAGUUAUGGGAGACAACAGGUACACAUGUUAAGUAAGUAUAGAAUAAAUACUACAUAAAUACAAGGUAGUUUUAGGAAGAAGGUCAUUAAAGGUCACUUAAUCAAUUCAUUUUUGUUGUUGCAAUGAGGGUCCAUUUACAGUUACAUAACAUAAAUUUGUAGUAAAUUCAUUGUGGUUUUGUGAGAUUCUUCAUUUCUUUUCAUCAGUACAUGAAAAGAAGUGAAGGCAGUGGAUGAGGAAAAAUUCAAGGUCUGGGCAUGGCAAGAUGCAGUUGGUGAAAGGAAUAAGAUAGGAAAGGACUCGUACAGAAAAUAGUCUUGAGUCAAUUAGUUUACAAAGAGGGUAAGAUAGGGAAAGGCGGAGCAUAUGGCCAGUGUGGAGAUGAUGGUGGGUAGUCAUGGUGAAGGAAAAAUGAAAUGAUAAAUGAAUAUCUCAAAUUUAUGUAAUGAUUUUUGUUGUAUAUUUCCUCACAAAAACCCAUUAUACAGUGUCAGUAUUAUCCCAGAAUCAGAAUUUUUUAAUUAGCAGGUUCCUUAACAGUCAACUAAUACAGUUCAAAAGGGAAAAAAAAAUCUCCACUACAGCAUUAUCCAUCCUCUGCUUAUUCCCCUCUAGUGAAGGGAAACCCAAUAUUUUCUAAGGUAGUACAGUUUGGAUUACAAUUAUCAAAUUUUCCUGUUAACAGAUGAGAACUGAAACUCAGAAAUGUUAAGUUAUUAGUCCAGGAUUGUAUAUUUAGUAGAUAUCAAGAUUUAAGAUCAAGUCCAGUUCUUCUGACUUCAUAUCUAGUGCCUUUCCAUUCCCACAAUGGUUGUGUCUGACCUAUUCGACCUCUCCAUCUCCUAUUGUGAAGAGAUAACUAUUAACAUGCCAGUGGAUCGGGUGGUGAUUUGACACAGAAUAGAAAAGGAGGGAAGUUAAUACUUGACUUAGAUUCACACAGUAUCUAAGUAUCUAAGAUUUAAUGUAGCUGGAAAGAGAUCUUAGAAAUCAUCCAGUUCAACUCUUUCAUUUUACAGAUGAGGAAACUGACAAAGAAGUUAAAUGACUUGUCUAGGGACAUAUAGUUAAUCAAACAAGCAUUUAUUAAAUGACCAUUGUUGUUCAUCCUUCAUCUCAAAGGGGACCAAUGGCAUCACAGUGAUCUAUUGACUUGUAGUGAAUUGGAUUUAAGUGAGGCAGAGUUGCACAAAGUCAUCAGUUUCACUCUAUUUUCCAAAAUCAUCCAAGUCCAAUGGCAAGACAAAAGUCAGGACAAAUGGGGAUGGCCUGAGAGCAAUGGAUGACCUUGGCAUCUUUGAUGUUUGACCAGGCUCUAAACACUCCAUGGUGCCUGCUUCCACCAUCUUCAUGGCCUUUGGAAGAAAUAGUUCUUAUCUACCCAUUACACCAGGGGAAGUCUUCACAAGCUUGGGAUGAACAUUCCCCUAACUCCAUGUUGGUGAACCUAUGGCAUGCCUGCCAAAGGGGGCUGCUCCCUUCCCCCUCUCCACAAGUGCCUGAGGAUAUUUCUUACAUCACCCACCCUAGCAGCCCAAUGGGAGCAUUUCCUCCCUCCCCUGCUUAGGAUAAGGUGGGGGGCUCACAUGUAGCAGUCUCUCUAAGGUUAGCCACCACUGCCCUAACUCAAUGAUGGAUUUGAAGCCCAUUGGUUACCCUGAACCUGGUUUAAUCCACCUGCCAAGAUGAUUUACUGCUGUACUUGCUAUAGCUUUUUCGAGGCACAGGUGAGAGUUGGGUGAAAUAUGGACACCAAAGGUAAAUGAGCACUCCUGAAAGGUCCUUGGCAAGUUCUCACACCAGGGGUGCUAGUUCUCCCUGAACACUCUAUAUAUCCUGUGAACUUUAGAUUCCUCCACCCUACUUAGUCUACAUCCAUACUUAAGGAUUAAGUAUUUAGGAGGAUGGCCUAUGACAGACAUAUGCUAGCAAAUGACAAAUCAGAAACAACUGACAGACCCCUAGGCAGUCCUAAGUCAAGCUUAAGCUACCAUUGGUACAUGUGAGAUGCAGGAAGUGAUGUAAAAACCGUAUGUAUAUUUCGCAUCACUUUCUCUCUCUGGCCUCUUUAGUGGUGGAGAGGUGGCUGGCGGAGCGUGCUGAGCAUUUUGGCAUCUUGGGUGGUGGCUGCUAUUGUCCAGGUUUAGCAAUGAGUUUUCCUUGAUACCAUUCUGGAGGAAGCUGAGUAGCCUAGCUCAGGUGAGGCAUCUUUACUGAGCCCUCUCAGAGUUUAGGCUGAUUCUUUCUCCUUUACCUUCCAAACACUAUCCUCUUAGAAAGCCACUAAUCUUCUUCAGAGACCUCGUGGCAGAGGACUUUGAACUCCCCCUGGCACAGGCCAGGUGGGAGAAAUCCUAUACCUUUUCCCUCUCCCUUCUCCUUAAGUCCUUCCCUCUAUAUUAAUUAAACCACCAUAAAUUUGCAAACUGACUUCGUUAUUUUAUUUGGGAUAUUCCCUGGUGACCACAACCCUAAAAUUACCCUUACAAUCCCAUAUUCAUGAGUUCAAAUCUGGCUUCAGAGUCUUACUAGCUGUAGAACCCUGGGUAAGAUCCUUAACUUUGCUUGCCACAGUUUCCUUAUCUAUAAAAUGAGCUGAAAAAGGUAAACAAGGCCAGUAUUUCUGCCAACAUAACUUUAAAUGAAUCCAGGAAGGGCUAGACAGGCCUGAAAAAUGACUAUUGUACUAAAUUCUUUGUAUUAAAUGAUUUCUGAGGAUAUAGAGAUAAAAAUGAAGUAAUCUCUGUCCUCGAUAAGCUUAUACUUUAUCAGAGAAACAACAUGAACUGAGGUACCCUGAAUCCAAAUCCUAUGUUCUUUCCACAUCAUGUUGAUCCUUCUCAGUGCCUCAGUUUCAUUACUGUAUCACUUUGCACAAGUUUUCCCAUAAGCCUCUCAAUUUUUCAUAUUCUUUAUUCCUUAUAGCAUAACAAAAUUCCAAAUACAUUCUAGCCUGAGUUUAUGUAGCCAUCCCUGGAACCUAGGGUUUCCAGACCUUUUGCUCUUAUGAAUAGGACUGUGAUGAGUAUUUUUCUCCAGGUAGGAAGAUCUUUUCUUUCUGUUAAUAAAGUAACGAGAUCAAGCACAGACUAUAGGUACUAUGUAAGGCCCUAGGGAAAUGAAGACAAAACCAAAAAUCAGACCCUAAUGACACAGAGUUAAUAAUCACCUCAGUGGGAUGGGGGAUUGCAAGGAUGCAAUAUGUAUACAGACAAGUAAAUACAAGAUAAUUCAAGGAGGGAGAGAGCCAUAACAGCAUAAUACCUGGCACACAGUAAGAACUUAAUGAAAGAUUCAGCAAGCUAAGAUUCAUGUCUCAGGUAUCAUAUUCUGGAAAGGCAGCAUUGACACUCCAAACAUUUGAGUUCAAAUUCAAUUGCUGACAUUUAUUGGCUGUGUGAUUAUAGACAAAUUCCUUAACCUCUCUGGCCCUGCAUUUCCACAUUUGUAGAAUACAUAGUUAUGCCUCCUUCUGAGGGCUAUUGCCAGGCUCAAAUAAAAUAAUUUAUGCAAAAUUCUUUGCUGACUCUAAAGCGGUGCAUAGAUAUCAAUUAUUAAAUGCUGUCUAAAUCUUGUUUUCUCCAAGCUAAGCAUUCCUAGUUUUUAAAAUAGAUCCUUCAGUGGCAGGUUCCCAAUUCCCUCACCAUCAUAUUCCCUUUCCUCUGGAGGCAGUGUAACAUGUCACUGUCCUUCUAUAAUAUGGCACACAUAUUUGAAUGGAAUACUCCAGAUGUGGUCAGUCCAGGUUUUUGACCAAGAGUUCACUCUUAUUUUUGUUUUUGAUUUGAAAGUAACGGGCAGAUUCCCUUUCAGAUCUCCAACACAUUUAUUAGUGACAAAAAUUGUAAACAAACAAAUAUGUGUAGACAUCAACAUCUACAGUUACAUCUCUAGACUUGUAAUAAACCACACUUUGCUCCCUUGCUGUCUGUGCCAGGCUCCCUUCAUUCUGGCAAGCCAACUCCCUCCCUGGGGCCCUGGGAUUCUGAUUGGCAAGAUUUCACCAUAUGGCGCCAAGAUCCUGACCCAGCAUUCUGCUCUCCAGCCAUCUUCAAAUGAAAUCUACAUUCCUGUUCCUGGAAACAAUAUCUCAAGCAGUUGUUCUAUGACUCUAAUGCCAAUCUCUCUGACUUCCCUAUUAAAAACACCCUUCCUGGUCGCUAUACCCCUAUGUACGUGUAGUCUUCCCUUAUUGGAAUAGAUGCUCUGUGAAGGCAAGGGCUCUCUUACUUGUCUGUAUUUGUGUCCCUAGGCCUUAGAACAAUGCCUGGAACAAAGUCAAUACUUAAUAAACACUUUUUAUUUCAUUAAUCUGCUCAUCCAUUUGGUAUGGAAAAGCUUCCCUUUUUUGACUUUUUUUUUAAAGGCCAUAGAAAAACAAGUAUAUAACAUUUGUGUAACUGAGAAGUUAUUGAUAUAGAGAAGCUACAGGAAUACAAACAUGAUUCAUGAGGAAUUGAGAAGUCUUUAUACAAAGAGGGACACAAUAAAUCAGAUGUGUCUGUGUGGUAUCGAAAGGAUAAAGUAGCCACUGGGCUAAUAGUCUUAAGAAGAAUUCCUACACAGACAGCCUGGACUCGAGUUCACAAAUCUCUAGGGGUGCAGUUGGCUUGGGACUGGCAGGUCUUUAAGGUUAGAUAUUCCAGAGGCCAGUGAUAGGCUGGUGAAUGGUUACCUCAGUACAUUAUGAACUGAGUUUUAUAGUUUUCUUAGAGCCAAGGCAAUAACAGAUUGGUUCUUUGACUAUUUGUUGGUAUAGUGCAAUCUUUCUUUGUCAAUCAGGUGACAAUUCUCACUGGAAGGUCUUGGCCAAUUAAUUCGGAUCGAAUCCCUACAUGGGACUUCCCCAAUAGGUCAAAAUGAAUAUUUGAAAGUUAUAAGCACUAUAGCAUUAAAAUAUAUGUGCUCAGUGCUGAGAAUAUUGGAGUUUCUUUUUCUUUACCCAUUCAGUCUACAGAAUACAAUGGGACAAUCACUUCCUUUAUCUUAUAUUUCUAAUUUUGUAGCCCAAGAUCACAUUAGGUUUUUUGUUUUGGGCUGUCACAUCAUAUUUUCAUUGACUUAUUGUAAUUCACUAUCCUCUGCCCUGGUUUAUCUUUUUACAUGAAUAUUUUCAGAUACAGCCAUACCUUCUAUACUUGUACAGUUGAUUUCUUUUGAACCCAAGUGCAAGACUUAAUAUUUACCACUAUUAAAUGUCAUCUGAUUUAAUCCAUUAUUUUGGCUUUCCAAGAUCAUUUUUGGAUCAUAAUUCUGUUAUCAAGCAUGCUUAGUUAUCCUUCCCAGCUCUGUGUUUCUUACAAAUUUGAUAAGCACUUUUAAGCAAGUGAAAUAGAAUUUAAGAAACCAGAGCAAAGGAUAGAUUCCUGGGGUAUUCUGUUACACAGAUUGAAAUUGAUUUAUUAGUCAUUUGAUCUUUGGUUCUAAUCCUUCAGUUAGGCCUGAACCCAAUUAACUGCACUAAUAUCUAGCCCACAUUCUCCAUUUGCCCACAAAGACAUGCCAAGAGACAUUGUCAAAUGCCUGAAUGAAAUCCAGAUGGACUGUGAGAACAUAUUUUCUAUAACCAAUAUAUUUAGUAACUAUCAAAGGGAAGGAUGAAGUUUGGUUUGACUUGUUCUUAAUGAGUUCCCGUGAUUAUUAAUUCUCUUCCCCCAUAUUCACAAAUUAUUGUAUAGCUUUUUCAGGAAUCACAGUGAAACUCACUAGGCUAUAGACAAAAGAAUCCACCCUCCUUCCCUUUCGAAAAUCAGGGAAUUUGCCUGUGUAUAUGGUACUGAGACCCUUCCCUCUCUCCUCUUCUCAGAAUGACACUAAAGGAACAGGAAAAUGCUCUCAUUUGCAUUUCCCAUAUUAGGUAAAGUUGAGAAUGUAAUAGCUGAGAAUAACUCGAAUAAUCUCACCCCUUUGUCACAGAGGGAUGAUUUGGAGUUAAAGAAGAAUUCAGGGAGGAAUUAGGAUGCUGUCUGAACUCCCAGCUGAGCAGGAAGUAUUCCCUCCAGUGGGAAGCCUCCUUCACCGGUGUCAGAAGAAGCUGGAGAAAACAUGCAAAUCCAAUGAAUCUCACCUAACUUCUUUGUUGGGUUCUGUGCCCUGCAUCACUCUAACUUCAUAUUUGGAGCUAAUGAAACUCAGUCUAAAGGUUUGACUCUGCCUUUGACUCUUACUCCAAUCCUGGGAGGGGAGGAGGAGAGGAUCUGAGUAGUGAUCCAUUACCCAUUCGGCAUAUUAGACACAAUCCUCAAGGUUCUUACUAUUAGCUGAAGCAAAGCCUUUAAUAAAUGAGAAUCAUGGGGGGCAUGUGGGUGACUCAGUGGAUUGAAAGCCAGGGAGGUCCUGGGUUAAAAUCUGGCACUAGACACUUCCUAGCUGUGUGACCCUGGGCAAGUCACUUAACCCCCAUGGCCUAGCCCUUACCACUCUUCUUCCAUGAAACCAAUACAUAGUAUUGAUCCUAAGGUAGAAGGUAAGAGUUUAAAAACAAUGGGAAUCAGACUGGGCAAUACAGGUUUCAGAUCUUCUCUAUGCUACUCCUUUGCCAUGGGUCUGUAGAUCUGGGGUUCAGGUCAUGACCCAUCACAGAGUUCAUGACUGAAGGAUGCGUUCCAGGUUGGAAGCACCUUCAUCAGUCCUGGCUUCCUGGGCUCAGGCCCAGGAUUGAUAACAAUCAUCACACUGCAGUGUGAUGUGUUAAAAGGACACUGAAUUUGGACUUACAGCACCUGGGUUUAAAUCCAGGCUCUGCUACUAUCUGUGUGGCUUUGGCCAAAUCCCUUCACAUCUCUUGGCCUUGGUUUUCUCAUCUGUGAGAUAAGAUGACUGAACUUCAGGACUUUAUUGUUUGAAAUCUAAAGUCUCUCCCUUCCUGCAUGCCGUCCAUUCCCUCUGGCUCUGGUUGUAGCUUUCUAGACACUGACAUCAUGGCCAAGGCAGGUCCUCUCCUCUUUAGUGUGUUGCCUUCCCCAGUGAGAAUGCCAACUCCUUGAGGGCCAGCUCUGUCUUUUUCUCUUGCUUGCAUUUGUGACUCCAGCACCUAGCACAGUCCCUGGCACAAAGGAAGAGCUGAAUAAAUGCUUUGUUGCCUUACUUUGCCUUACCUUCCCAGGGUAAAGGCCUAGAACGCAAGACUUUGUUCUAUCAUUCUGUUACAAGAUCCCCUUUUGCCCAGAUGAUGACAAACACAUUCCUGGUCAAGUCACACUGAAAAGAAAAAGAGUUUUAAGGGAUUUUAUUUUAGAGAUGCCAAAGGCUUUGUAGAUAAUGAAGGAAAUGAUUAUUUCUAUUUUGUUGCUCUGCCCUUGCCUAAUUUAUUUUACUUGCAAAUUAUUGACUUAAGAAUUAAGAAUUAUACAGGAUGAAGCAAUGGUACAUGACUAAUAAGACUUACAAGCAAAGAGAUAAAACAAUCCCUUUUAUAUCAGGUAUGACCAGCAGAUCUACCUUUUGGAUUGUUUGAAUCACGUAGUCUGGAAAAUAUUCCUUUAUAAAAGACAAUCACAGUAGGUCACCAUCAAGCUGUCCACUCCUGUCAUGUCAUAUAAACACAUUGACAGUUAAAAAAAGAAAGAAAAGGAAAAAAAGCAUUGUAGAAAUUCUCCUUUAAUUUAGUAAUAUAAAACUUAAAUAGAAACAGGAGAUGACAAACACUAUGC